Molecule: long non-coding RNA, 1050 nt
Filed under: Coturnix japonica (Japanese quail)
Lineage: Eukaryota; Metazoa; Chordata; Aves; Galliformes; Phasianidae
Description: lncRNA (ENSCJPG00005011826.1)
Source: RNAcentral
AUGAUGGAAGGACAGAAAAAAAGAAUUAAAGGAAAGGCAGGAGGACAGGCAGCCCGCAUUCCUCCUCGCCCUCCUUUUCCAGGCCGGCCCCCAGACCCCCUCAGCCACACGGCGGAGCAGCGCGGAGCUGCGGGGCAUCCCGGGGUCGGCUCUGCCAUCCCGUGUGUCCGCACAUCACGGCUCUCCCGCAUCAGGCCGUGCCCUGCGCAGCCUCCGCAGAGCAGCGCUGCGGUGCGCGGCGCGCAGGGGCCCGGGGACAUGCGCACUCUCCGCGGACAUCGCUCGCUGCUUCUCCGCCGCCUCCCCCGGGCGAAGGAGGAGGAGAGAAGGAGGAGGGAGAGAGAGGAGAGAAGGAGGAGGGAGGGCAGAGCCGCGCGCCGCAACUUGCUGCCGCUCCUCCCUCGCCGCUGCCCGGCCCCUGCGGGCAGCGCUCGGCGGGCAGCGCUCGGCGGGAGGCGGCAGCCGGGGCGCGCCCCGCUGCGGGGCCGGCGCCUGCCGGUGAGUUGGGGGCGGUGCGCGAAGUUGCCGUGUCUGCGUGUGUCUGUAUAUAUAUGUCUGCGUGUGUCUGUAUAUAUAUGUCUGUGUGUAUCUGUAUAUAUAUGUCUGUGUGUGUGGCUGUGUGUGCGCGGGGUUGCGCGGCCGCGGGGCUCGGCUGGUGUCCGCUGGGCUCGGUUGGUGGCUGCGAGGCUGGGAGCGCACCGCGGGCUGCCCCGGUCCUGCCGUGCUCCCGUCCGGCCGUCACCCGGCGGCCAUUUGGACCGGGGUCAGUCCGGCGGCGGCCGCAGGUGCAGCGCGGUGCGGGCUGCGCUGCGGCUCGGCGGGCUGGGGCUGGGGCUGGGGCUGGGGCUGCGGCUGCUGCUUCCAUUCCCAUCCCGGUACGUGCAGUUUGUUGUGCGGCGGCAUCUGCUCCUCGUCUUGGGAACUCUUGGAGAAGAUGCGAUCGGCACGGGAGGGCAGGGGCCGCCGUUCAGAGCGCGGCAGAGUGAUGCGAGCGGCAGCGGGUCCGAGCGCAUCGCCCUGGCUGCCGCUUGGAGCAUCUCCUUCCCAUAA